AAUGUGCUAAUGAAUCUCCUUUAAAAGGAUGGUAAUGGGAAACAAAUAAAGAAUUGCAGGGUCAUUCACAUGCACAUCCUUGUUCAUCUUCCUACCCUGAAUUGGCUGAGAGUGAGAAAAACGUGUGUACACACACACACACACACACACUUUCCAGCCAGAUGAUUUAUUUACGGAAGAUUCACAUGAACUAAAUUCCUGCCCAAGAAAUGUUUAUGUCCCUUGGAGAUGGUCACCACAAAAUCUGGCCUAUGACAGGCAGCUUUCUAAAGAAUCCAUUGCUCUUGGCCACUCACUCAACAAAGACACGAUGUAAGUGUGAAGUCAGUGGCGUGCCUUCCACGUGACAAGUGCUACACAAGACUCAGAUGUACAGAGGUGAAGAGGAGGCCGUCACUGUCCAUGGGAAGCCCUGCUCUGGGGUGAGAGUGUGUAAGCUGUAGGGUGAGGGCUGACCUGGGGGACGGACCUGCAUCCAGCGAUGCCACACACUCAGUUGUUGUAUCUCGUGUGUGUUUUCUCACUUUCUCUGAUGAACCUUUCGAGUUCUUGGAUGGUCUUGUUCCGUUCCUUCUGCCUGCACACAUCUCAACACUCUACCAUCUGUCCAUGUGGACGGAUCCCCAAACGGCUCCAUCCCUGACUUCUCGGCGGAGCCCAGCACCUCUUCCUCCUCCUGCCUGUUCUUUUUAAUAUCUUAUUCCCUACAAAGAAACAUUACGUUCUUGGAGGGCAAGCACCCUAUUUUUUACCUUCCUUUCUUCAGCCCCAUGGUGCUCGGCACAGGGUUAUAACACUCCGUAUGUAGCAAAUGACACCCGUGUUAAUGAAUGAAUGCUGGGAUCUGAAACCCUGCAGUGUAGACCAAAAGCACUGAAACCCUGCGGUGUAGACCAAAAGCACUGGUUCAUCUCCACAGAAGGACGGACAGUGGAGCCCCGUCCACCAGCCGGCACCGAAGCAAAGUUUCCAGGACAAAGCCCACAGGAUGGAGCUGGCGGAAAGGUGUCGCUGCACGGGUGCGUGGGCUGCAGUUGAAUGUGACCGUGGCAGUGGCCAACCACAGGCUUGUUGCCCGCAAGGGAAUGCAGCAAGCUGGACCAGAAGUCAAAGCUCCAGGGAGGGGCACUUUGCUCCUCUUUUGACGGCUCCAAGCCAGCGUCCUCUGGAUCCAUCCAGCUGGGGAAGCAGAGAGGAGGUCACACUAGAAACAGCUCUGUUCCAACCAGAUCCGAACUCGACCACGUGCAAAGUGAAAUUACCAAGAGGUGUUUACGGUGGUGGUGAUCUCGAAAAAUAA
Molecule: long non-coding RNA, 1300 nt
Filed under: Ursus thibetanus thibetanus
Lineage: Eukaryota; Metazoa; Chordata; Mammalia; Carnivora; Ursidae
Description: lncRNA (ENSUTTG00000020813.1)
Source: RNAcentral